UACGAAGGGUGCUAGCGUUGUUCGGAAUUACUGGGCGUAAAGCGCGCGUAGGCUGUUUUCCAAGUCAGGGGUGAAAUCCUUGGGCUCAACCCAAGAAUUGCCUUUGAAACUGGAAGACUAGAGUGUCGGAGGGGAUAGCGGAAUUCCUAAUGUAGAGGUGAAAUUCGUAGAUAUUAGGAGGAACACCGGUGGCGAAGGCGGCUAUCUGGACGACAACUGACGCUGAGGCGCGAAAGCACGGGGAUCAAACAGG
This 253-nucleotide ribosomal RNA is filed under the name uncultured bacterium. Its description in RNAcentral is "partial 16S ribosomal RNA". It matches the Rfam family "Bacterial small subunit ribosomal RNA", at positions 524 to 776 of the family's 1533-position model. The record is from RNAcentral.